This 257-nucleotide ribosomal RNA is filed under the name uncultured bacterium. RNAcentral describes it as "partial 16S ribosomal RNA". It matches the Rfam family "Bacterial small subunit ribosomal RNA", at positions 524 to 776 of the family's 1533-position model. The record is from RNAcentral.
UACGUAGGUGGCAAGCGUUGUCCGGAAUUAUUGGGCGUAAAGCGCGCGCAGGCGGUCUUUUAAGUCUGAUGUGAAAGCCCACGGCUCAACCGUGGAAGGUCAUUGGAAACUGGAAGACUUGAGUGCAGAAGAGAAGAGCGGAAUUCCACGUGUAGCGGUGAAAUGCGUAGAGAUGUGGAGGAACACCAGUGGCGAAGGCGGCUCUUUGGUUCGUGAUGAACGUGACGUGAGGCGCGAAAGCGUGGGGAGCAAACAGG